AAACGUGUGAGGCGACGAACAGAAACCGCAUAUAAGGCCAAGCCUGCGGGGCGAGUUGGCACAGGACGACAAAGCCCAUCGGUUUAGUAGGCAUGGUAAAUGCGGCGCUUGUAUACCGAAA
This is a non-coding RNA of Crenothrix polyspora, 121 nucleotides long. Lineage: Bacteria; Pseudomonadati; Pseudomonadota; Gammaproteobacteria; Methylococcales; Crenotrichaceae. The record is from Rfam.